This 453-nucleotide ribosomal RNA is filed under the name uncultured Porphyromonadaceae bacterium. RNAcentral's name for it is "partial 16S ribosomal RNA". It matches the Rfam family "Bacterial small subunit ribosomal RNA", at positions 341 to 792 of the family's 1533-position model. Lineage: Bacteria; Pseudomonadati; Bacteroidota; Bacteroidia; Bacteroidales; Porphyromonadaceae. The record is from RNAcentral.
ACGGAAGGCAGCAGUGAGGAAUAUUGGUCAAUGGACGGAAGUCUGAACUAGCCAAGUCGCGUGAAGGAUGAAGGUUCUAUGGAUUGUAAACUUCUUUUGUCUGAGGGUAAAGUGCAGUACGUGUACUGUUUUGCAAGUAUCAGACGAAUAAGCAUCGGCUAACUCCGUGCCAGCAGCCGCGGUAAUACGGAGGAUGCGAGCGUUAUCCGGAUUUAUUGGGUUUAAAGGGUGCGUAGGCGGAAUGUUAAGUCAGUGGUAAAAGCGUGUGGCUCAACCAUACCAAGCCAUUGAUACUGGCGUUCUUGAGUGUAAACGAGGUAGGCGGAAUAUGACAUGUAGCGGUGAAAUGCUUAGAUAUGUCAUAGAACCCCGAUUGCGAAGGCAGCUUACCAGCAUACAACUGACGCUGAGGCACGAAAGCGUGGGUAUCAAACAGGAUUAGAUACCCUGGUA